GCAGCUGGGGACAGAAUAAAGCAGCAGCUUCCUCACAUAACUCAGCUGCAGCCAGAGAGAGACAUGACUGCAGUGUGAACCUUUAAUCUCAUGAACACUGCUCCUAUCUUUUCCAUGAGCAAAGUUGUGUAUAAAUGGAUAUUUUUAAGAAGACGACGGGAGUAGAUAAUAGUUUUCUGCAAGCUGAAAAAGUAGUUAUCUAACUUCCCACAGCCACACAGAAAUAAAAUUCUUAAAUCUCCCUCCAAUGCCACCAUGAAUAGAUCAAAAUAGGGAAAAGUAAUGAAAAUACAGAGAGCAAUCAGCCACUAUUGUGAGCAUGAAUUUUAUAAUCCUUUCAGAAAUAUUAUAUGCAACAUAAUUUUAGACAGAAUAGCAUUUCUCAUUCUUUUUCUGUCCAGGAAAUUAUCUUCCAAAGUGUCUGACCAAGAGCACUGGCUGACAGUAGGAAGGGAAAUGGAUUCAAAAUGAAUUUAGUUGAUAUGUUUGUGCUGUUCCUUUGGAAGAAAUUCAGUGUUAAUGACAUUAUUCAUUCUGAGAAAUUGAAUAAAAUGCAUCAGGACAACAGUGAAAUUGAAAUCUGCAGUGCUAAUGCAGUCAUCACCCUGAAGUCCUUUCCAGUUCCUUAUGGCCCCAAAGCUCCUAAAAUUGUUCUAUUUGCUUCAUCAGCAAACUGUUGGCCUGUGCAUCUGCUGUGAAUAUUUUACACAUCCUAGGAAGGAUUCUGGCCCUUGGCAUCCAGCUCACUUACUUCCCAGGAAGUCAAGUAAUUUGGGAUACAUUUAUCAGCCUCAAGACAAGCUGGGGAACAUCCAGCUGGGGAGAGAUGAUGACUUGGCCUCCUAGCAGUCCCUACCCAAACCACCGUCUGCAAUGUGUAACCAACCGUGCUUUUACUGAGUGAACACCAGAAGUGGCACUCCUAUUUUACUGAACAAAGACUCUGCCUUCAUUAGCUCUCGUUGUGAUUUGAUUUAUUGAUGAGGACAAGAGAAUGUCUUCCAAGGACAACACAGAAAAGUUUGGAGAAGCCACAGCAGCAGCAGUGUUCAACAGGGCAGAGACCACAGCGCUCCUGUGGCAACACUCUGUGGCUACAGGGCAAUAUCUGAUCAUUUGAUAAUCCUUGAGCAUCCUGAAAAGCAAAGCAACUUUACCUCAUUCAAAGCAAGGGUGGAUUUGAUGAAGACGAUAUAAUCAGAAGGCCCAUCUGUCCAUGCAUUUUGAAUCAUUGAAUCAUUCCUUUGAGGAAGAAAGUAAUGACAGUUUCAUAAGGAUAAGUUUCUAUUGUUUGACCAUCCCAUACCACAAAAACCUUUGUUGUGAUCUACUGAGCUAUUUGGAGCCUUUGCAAAGAUGAAGAAAUGAGUCGUUAUAUUCUUUGGGCCAUGGUAACAAAAUCUUAUCCUCAAAAUAAAAUUAUAGAGAAUGUCCUCACUCCUUUUUCUGUGCUAGUGUCUUGUGUCUCUUUCCUUGUGCAGAUUUUAUUUUUGAAGCAGCAGUUUUUUAAAUGUACCUAUUUUAUGCUUUCCCAGAUCAAAGCCGAACAUGGCUCUAGUAUCCCAUAGUUGCUGAAUUCCUUGCAGGAAAGAGGACAACAUCCAAUCUGCCUGGUUCAUAAAGUGUUGUUAGUUAUUUGUCUCUAUCUGAACAUGUGCUUUCCACUUGCAAAAAGGUUCUUGAAUCCUGAGAGGUUAUUAAAUCAAACACAUUUUUUUUAAUUUUAAAAAGCAAGUUGUUUUGUUUUUUAUACAUUUAUCUUUCCUUUUUUUUUUUUUUUAAAAUAUUUGCCACCUAAUCAAGUCUCAGAAAAAUGUGUGAGCAACCAACAUAAUAAAAUGCACACAGACUUGUGAAUGUGGCUUGACCCCAAGUCCAAUGUACAAUAAAUUCCAUUAAUCCCAGAUUAAGUAUGUGACAGACUGUUUUUGUAGUACAUCUUCUGUGAAGCAGCUACCAAGGGAUUCAGAGCUUGGAAAUUACUUAAAAGUGCAUCUGCUUGGCAAAUUCUUAUGAAUAAUAAACACAACAUAGUUGUAGGGUGUCACAACCAAUUGUAAGCUAUUUCCUAACAAAACAAGAGAAGAGUUUUGCAAUAAAGUUCUAUUCACAGAAA
This is a long non-coding RNA of Taeniopygia guttata (zebra finch), 2116 nucleotides long. RefSeq lists it as uncharacterized. NCBI's taxonomy places the organism in Eukaryota, Metazoa, Chordata, Aves, Passeriformes, Estrildidae. The record is from RefSeq and is a predicted model, not a curated record.